GGGCCUGUAGCUCCAAUUGGCAGAGCCGCUGCUUUGCAAGCAGAUGGAUGUGAGUUCGAGUCUCACCAGGUCCACCA
This 77-nucleotide transfer RNA is filed under the name Povalibacter uvarum. RNAcentral's name for it is "tRNA-Ala". It matches the Rfam family "tRNA". Rfam says of the family: Transfer RNA (tRNA) molecules are approximately 80 nucleotides in length. Their secondary structure includes four short double-helical elements and three loops (D, anti-codon, and T loops). Further hydrogen bonds mediate the characteristic L-shaped molecular structure. tRNAs have two regions of fundamental functional importance: the anti-codon, which is responsible for specific mRNA codon recognition, and the 3' end, to which the tRNAs corresponding amino acid is attached (by aminoacyl-tRNA synthetases). tRNAs cope with the degeneracy of the genetic code in two manners: having more than one tRNA (with a specific anti-codon) for a particular amino acid; and 'wobble' base-pairing, i.e. permitting non-standard base-pairing at the 3rd anti-codon position. Lineage: Bacteria; Pseudomonadati; Pseudomonadota; Gammaproteobacteria; Steroidobacterales; Steroidobacteraceae. The record is from RNAcentral.